CACCCCAGAUGCUCCACCUGCAGAAAACGGGAACGACGCCACCCCAGAUGCUCAACCUGCAGAAAACGGGAACGCCGCCACCCCAGAUGCCCCACCUGCAGAAAAUGGGAACGAUGCCACAUGAUCCUGAUGGUUAUAUGUUCGUCCGUAGCGCUGUCCAUCAUUAGCUUCAUAUACAAGGGUUGGUACCCAAAGUUGCUGCUGCUACCAGAAGUGAAAUUUUCUCCUGCUUUUCAGGUACUAGCAUAAUAGGUACACACCAUCAUACAGAUAGAUCGUAGCCACCGUUUGUUCAUUAAAUUAAAUUUUGCUGAAUACUAGUAAGUACUAUACGGCGG
Molecule: long non-coding RNA, 338 nt
Filed under: Triticum aestivum (bread wheat)
Lineage: Eukaryota; Viridiplantae; Streptophyta; Magnoliopsida; Poales; Poaceae
Description: long non-coding RNA (TAES_LNC010629)
Source: RNAcentral